CUGGGACUGAGACACGGCCCAGACUCCUACGGGAGGCAGCAGUGGGGAAUUUUCCGCAAUGGGCGAAAGCCUGACGGAGCAAGACCGCGUGGGGGAGGAAGGUUCUUGGAUUGUCAACCCCUUUUCUCAGGGAAGAAAGCAAUGACGGUACCUGAGGAAAAAGCAUCGGCUAACUCCGUGCCAGCAGCCGCGGUAAUACGGGGGAUGCAAGCGUUAUCCGGAAUGAUUGGGCGUAAAGAGUCCGUAGGUAGUCAUUCAAGUCUGCUGUUAAAGAGCGAGGCUUAACUUCGUAAAGGCAGUGGAAACUGGAAGACUAGAGUGUAGUAGGGGCAGAGGGAAUUCCUGGUGUAGCGGUGAAAUGCGUAGAGAUCAGGAAGAACACCGGUGGCGAAGGCGCUCUGCUGGGCUAUAACUGACACUGAGGGACGAAAGCUAGGGGAGCGAAUGGGAUUAGAUACCCCAGUAGUCCUAGCGGUAAACGAUGGAAACUAGGUGUGGCCUGUAUCGACCCGGGCCGUGCCGAAGCUAACGCGUUAAGUUUCCCGCCUGGGGAGUACGCACGCAAGUGUGAAACUCAAAGGAAUUGACGGGGGCCCGCACAAGCGGUGGAGUAUGUGGUUUAAUUCGAUGCAACGCGAAGAACCUUACCAGGACUUGACAUCUCGGGAAUCUGCCUGAAAGGGGAGAGUGCCGUAAGGAACCCGAAGACAGGUGCUGCAUGGCUGUCGUCAGCUCGUGUCGUGAGAUGUUGGGUUAAGUCCCGCAACGAGCGCAACCCUCGUCGUUAGUUGCCAUCAUUAAGUUGGGAACUCUAGCGAGACUGCCGGUGACAAACCGGAGGAAGGUGAGGAUGACGUCAAGUCAGCAUGGCCCUUACGUCCUGGGCGACACACGUACUACAAUGCGAGGGACAGAGAGCAGCCAACCCGCGAGGGAGAGCGAACCUCAGAAACCCUGGCACAGUUCAGAUUGCAGGCUGCAACUCGCCUGCAUGAAGGAGGAAUCGCUAGUAAUCGCAGGUCAGCAUACUGCGGUGAAUCCGUUCCCGGGCCUUGUACACACCGCCCGUCACACCAUGGAAGUGAGCCACGCCCGAAGUCAUUACUCUAACCGAAAGGGGGAGGGUGCCGAAGGCGGGGUUGAUGACUGGGGUGAAGUCGUAACAAGGUAGCCGUACCGGAAGGUGUGGCUGGAUCACCUCCUUUAAGGGAGACCUACUUUUGAGUUGAGUGCCAAAUCCAAACAAACACAGCACCCUCAAAAGUCAUCCCAGGUCGUACUAGGAAAAAAGAGACUUUCAAGCGUAUCUCAAGUUCGGAAAAUGGGCUAUUAGCUCAGGUGGUUAGAGCGCACCCCUGAUAAGGGUGAGGUCCCUGGUUCAAGUCCAGGAUGGCCCACCUAGAACAAUGUGGGGGUAUAGCUCAGUUGGUAGAGCGCUGCCUUUGCAAGGCAGAUGUCAGCGGUUCGAGUCCGCUUACCUCCGCUGAAAACCCUCCAAGAACCGAGCAGCACUACGACUUUCCGUCAAGAAAGAGUAAAUGCUGGAAAAAGU
Molecule: non-coding RNA, 1552 nt
Filed under: Planktothrix iranica AS S8A
Lineage: Bacteria; Bacillati; Cyanobacteriota; Cyanophyceae; Oscillatoriales; Microcoleaceae
Description: bacterial SSU rRNA
Rfam family: Bacterial small subunit ribosomal RNA (bases 1-1205)
Source: RNAcentral